UUGCUUGCUGACAUUAUAUAGUAAGCAAUUCCUGCCCAGUGACAAAUGUUCAACGGCCGCGGUAUCCUAACCGUGCAAAGGUAGCAUAAUCAUUUGCCUAUUAAUUGUAGGCUAGAAUGAACGGAUAAACGAAAUAAAAACUGUCUCAAUCAGCACCCUAAAAAUUAACCCUUGCGUGAAGAGUCGCAAAUAACCUCGAAGGACAAGAAGACCCUAUAGAGCUUUAUUCUAUGUAUAGAUAAAUUACUACACUAAAAUUCGGUUGGGGCGACCAAGGACAUUACAAAACACCCUUAAGAAAAAAGAUUUAUUAAUCAACAUAAUGACCCUUAUUAAGAUCACAAAACCAAGCUACCUUAGGGAUAACAGGCUAAUCCUAUUUAAGAGUUCAUAUCUACAAUAGGGCUUGGCACCUCGAUGUUGGCUUAGGAAAUCAAUAUAACGCAAAAGUUAUAUAAAGAUGGUUUGUUCAACCAAUAACAUCCUACAUGAGCUGAGUUCAGACCGGCGUAAGCCAGGUUAGUUUCUAUCCACGAUAAGUAUAUCUGCCCGUAGUACGAAAGGACCUGGGAAAGAAUAAUAAUUUAUAAGUUAAGAUCCAUUAUAACAUAUUAUAUAAACAAAAAAAUUUACAAACUAUA
This 641-nucleotide ribosomal RNA is filed under the name Microscolex phosphoreus. RNAcentral's name for it is "partial 16S ribosomal RNA". It matches the Rfam family "Bacterial large subunit ribosomal RNA", at positions 1828 to 2816 of the family's 2925-position model. The record is from RNAcentral. Lineage: Eukaryota; Metazoa; Annelida; Clitellata; Crassiclitellata; Megascolecidae.